Planctomycetes bacterium RBG_13_62_9 is the source of this 74-nucleotide non-coding RNA. The record is from Rfam. NCBI's taxonomy places the organism in Bacteria, Pseudomonadati, Planctomycetota.
GGGCGGUUAGCUCAGUUGGCUAGAGCGCGUGCUCGACACGCACGAGGUCACAAGUUCAAAUCUUGUACCGCCCA